Molecule: ribosomal RNA, 115 nt
Filed under: Anaerobacillus sp. HL2
Lineage: Bacteria; Bacillati; Bacillota; Bacilli; Caryophanales; Bacillaceae
Source: RNAcentral
UUUAGUGACGAUAGCGAAGAGGGUCACAUAGUUUCCCAUGCGAACACGAUCGUUAAGCUCUUUUGCGCCGAUGGUAGUUGAAGUUUCCCCCUGUGAGAGUAGGACGUUGCUAAAC